Molecule: long non-coding RNA, 404 nt
Organism: Suncus etruscus (white-toothed pygmy shrew)
Lineage: Eukaryota; Metazoa; Chordata; Mammalia; Eulipotyphla; Soricidae
Exons: 2
Source: RefSeq, a predicted model, not a curated record
UGUACCCUGGCAAAAGAGGCCCAGGGCUGAGACCUGGGUGAGUGUCUGGAGACACCCCUCCUUCCCAAGAGUUUCCCUUUCCAAUAGAAACCAUUUCCUUCUGCCACUAAAACUAGGCUGCUUCCAAGUUUCUCAUAAGCUUAAAAAAAGAAACCUGAAAAAAAUACAAACAAAAUAGCUGACAGCUAUUAGAAGAACCCACAAAAUUUGCAGCCGCACCAAGGGUGAAGAAGCAGCAAAAGACCCAGAUCUACUGGAUACACAGAGGAACUCCCCCCAGGUCAUGCAAGAAAGAAAAAUGAAACUCUGUAUCAGGGAAGCUUAAAAAGUCCCCCAUUUCUCCAAGUUUCCACAAAACCUAAAAUGGAUUUAUAGGUCAGAGAGUAUGAUUUUUUAAGUUAAUU